AGGCGUGUGUCUGAGACACAUCUGAACAUUGAUCGCUGUUAUUAGGCAGAUCUGCUCAGAGGUAGUGUCCCUUAACCACACAAGACCAUAUUGAGUCGGUAUUCCCGCUGCCACAGUACGCACGGUACGAGUACCUUCUCACACAGUUGCGCCCCAAGCGCAUAUCAGGGUAUAAAUCUGGCCGUUCUCCUAGCUUAGCUGUUUCAAAAUUGGGGAAGUUUGCUAGCAUCUUCCAUGAUUUAAGACGCCACCAAUAAAGGCGCUGAGUGUGUCAGCCUGCCUUUUAAU
Molecule: small nuclear RNA, 288 nt
Filed under: Strigamia maritima
Lineage: Eukaryota; Metazoa; Arthropoda; Chilopoda; Geophilomorpha; Linotaeniidae
Description: 7SK RNA
Rfam family: 7SK RNA
About the family: 7SK was discovered as an abundant small nuclear RNA in the mid-70s but a possible function has only recently been suggested.
Source: Rfam by way of RNAcentral